RNAcentral lists this long non-coding RNA (609 nucleotides) under Homo sapiens (human). RNAcentral's name for it is "HSALNT0270855". The record is from RNAcentral. Lineage: Eukaryota; Metazoa; Chordata; Mammalia; Primates; Hominidae.
UGCAUCUUCCUUCGCUAUAAUUAACAGUAAAACAAUGAAAUUGUUGUAUAAGAAUUUAAAUUUUUUCUGACUACACAGUAAAAUCAUUUGAAAGGAUUUGCAUCAUGAACCUUUCAGACAUUUGAAGUUAUUCACAUUGAAUUGUCAUCUAAUCAGAAAGAGGUAUCAAUAAAAACACUGUAGGGUAUUUAAUCUAAAUGUAACCACAUUAAAUUUAAUCGUAUAGUUUUGCAAUUAUUUGUGGCUAUAUCUACUUAAGACCAUAAGCAGGUCUUCUUUAAUUUUCUAUUCCUAAUGCCAAUGAUAAUGCUGGAUACCUAAUUAAUGCUCAAUAUAUGCUCACUGCAAAGAACCAAACAAGGAAAAUACCAACUAAGAAAUGCUUUGCAGUGUAACAUAAACAUUUUCUUUGAAUGCUAAAUAUAUUUUGAAAUUACAAAAUCAGACAAGAGACAAAAUUAAGAAACGUUAAUAUCAAUUAGACUAAGAUGCUUCUUAAGCAUAAACAGACUAUUCAAAUCACAUAAGGGCUUUUUUUUGAUUACUGGAAAAUGUCUUAUGUGGAAGAACAUUAAAGACAGAAGCUACCUAUUACCACACCCAAAUACC